GCCUACGGGGCGCAGCAGUGGGGAAUAUUGCACAAUGGGGGAAACCCUGAUGCAGCGACGCCGCGUGAGUGAAGAAGUAUUUCGGUAUGUAAAGCUCUAUCAGCAGGGAAGAUAAUGACGGUACCUGAGUAAGAAGCCCCGGCUAACUACGUGCCAGCAGCCGCGGUAAUACGUAGGGGGCAAGCGUUAUCCGGAAUUACUGGGUGUAAAGGGAGCGUAGACGGUGAUGUAAGUCUGGAGUGAAAGGCGGGGGCCCAACCCCCGGACUGCUCUGGAAACUAUGUGACUGGAAUGCAGGAGAGGUG
This 305-nucleotide ribosomal RNA is filed under the name uncultured bacterium. RNAcentral describes it as "bacterial SSU rRNA". It matches the Rfam family "Bacterial small subunit ribosomal RNA", at positions 337 to 659 of the family's 1533-position model. The record is from RNAcentral.